RNAcentral lists this ribosomal RNA (574 nucleotides) under uncultured bacterium. RNAcentral describes it as "bacterial SSU rRNA". It matches the Rfam family "Bacterial small subunit ribosomal RNA", at positions 8 to 573 of the family's 1533-position model. The record is from RNAcentral.
AGAGUUUGAUCCUGGCUCAGGAUGAACGCUAGCGGCAGGCCUAACACAUGCAAGUCGAGGGGUAACAUAGGAAAGCUUGCUUUUCUGAUGACGACCGGCGCACGGGUGCGUAACGCGUAUACAACCUACCUUUUAGCGGUGAAUAGCCCAGGGAAACUUGGAUUAAUGCCCCAUAGUAUAUAGACUUCUCCUGAAGUUUAUAUUAAACAUUUAUGGCUAUUAGAUGGGUAUGCGUCCUAUUAGUUAGUUGGUAAGGUAACGGCUUACCAAGGCAGCGAUAGGUAGGGGUCCUGAGAGGGAGAUCCCCCACACUGGUACUGAGACACGGACCAGACUCCUACGGGAGGCAGCAGUGAGGAAUAUUGGACAAUGGGCGAGAGCCUGAUCCAGCCAUGCCGCGUGCAGGAAGACUGCCCUAUGGGUUGUAAACUGCUUUUACAGAGGAAGAACCACCCCCACGUGUGGGGGUUUGACGGUACUCUGCGAAUAAGGAUCGGCUAACUCCGUGCCAGCAGCCGCGGUAAUACGGAGGAUCCAAGCGUUAUCCGGAAUCAUUGGGUUUAAAGGGUCCGUA